UCAAAAGGCAAAUUUGCCUUUGUCACCAAAAAGUUUAGGAAAAAAAUGACAGGAAAAACAGCAAAGGAAAAGUAAACAAAAGGGAAUUCAAAAAAGGCUGCAGGGGGACUUUUCACUAGGGUGUGGAGUGACAGGAAAAGGGGGAAUGGCCUUAAGCUGAAGGAAGGCAGGGCUGGAUGGGAUAUUGGGAAUUAGGAAUUGUUCCUUGGGAGGGUGGACAGGGGCUGGAAUUCCCAGAGCAGCUGUUGCUGCCCCUGGAUCCCUGGCAGUGCCCAAGGCCAGGUUGGAUUUUUUCUUGGAGCAGCCUGGGACAGUGUAAGGUGUCCCUGUCUGGAACAAGAUGACCCCUAAGGUCCCUUCCAGCCUCAACCAUCCCAUGAUUCCAUGACAAUAUUCCCGUUUAUCACACUUCCAGGACUCUUGCCAUGUCAUUAAACACAGCCCUUCCACCAGACCAGGCUGAUCAAGCUGUGAUCCUUGGCUGCCCCUCCUUGCAAUCCUCAUUUUCAGCUGUCCCUCAGCUGAAAGAUGCCCUGAAUUUCUCCUCUUGGUGUUGUCCAGGUGCAGCCCAAACCCAGCUCUGCUGAGCUUCCUCGUCAAGCCCAGCUUGUCAGGAUUUCUUUGUAAAUCAGCUUUUGUUAAUUGUUCUGCAUUAACAAGGUUCCCUCUCAAAUCAGAUUGCUCUGCCAAGAGAACAGAGGGAUCCUGUGAGUGCUCUGUGCUCCCCUUCUGAGUUUUAUUUUUAUAUAUAUAUAUGUAUAUUUAUAUUUAUUUUUAUAUAUUUAUAUAUACACACACACACGUUUUUGUACAGAUACAAAAGGUAGCCUGAAAAUUCAGAUUUCAUUCCAAGUUUUCCAUGGCUGCUCUUUGCCAUGCCAGCAAUGGGAAGCAAGCAUGGGUUCCGGGAACUGGGGAAAUCAGGUGUAAAGCUGUUUUAAAUCUAAACAAAUGUAAAAGAUGUCAGGAAGUGUGGCUGGGUUAGUCCCUGAAAUUCUUACAAGAGAUUUAAUCUUGUAAUCAAAGUCACCGGCUGAUAAUAUCAAAUACCAGGCUUAAAAUAUGAUUUUAAAACAAUUCUGACACCAAGUUCUUGAGAAAUCAUUAAGAAUGUUUGGCUUGGAGUCAGCCUGUCCCCUUGCCUCCCUGCAGAAUGUCACUUUAUAAUUUCCUAUUUUAUUUCACACCCAAUCCUCCUCAACUUAAUGAUUUUAUCAGGCAGAGAGGGGGAAAUGAAAUGCUGGAAGCCACCAUGAAAAAAUUCCUGCCUGAUGGAACAGUGUUGAAAUCACUGACUUAACACCAGGUGGAAAAUGGGAUCUACAAGGCUGCAGGACAAUUCCUAAGGGCCAUGAAAUCCUAAUUUUUUGAAGGCAUGGGUUAUGGAUUAUGGAAUAUUAAGAAUAAUUUUCAAAAUACUUCAUAAACACUGGCUAAUCAUUCUCUACAGCUCCUCUGUGAGCUCCAUCUGUUGUAGAACUGUUCAGAAAAAAUUCUCAUUUAUUAACAGCCCUGAUAAUUUAUUUGCAUGACUUUUCAUCAAAGAAUAUUCACUUGGAAGAGAAAAAGGAAACUUGAGGCAAAGGAGAGCAGCAGCAGAAUGUCUUGGAAAGCCCUGAGAAAACAGAGAAAACUGAAAAGCAAGGUGAGACCUUCACCUGCAGCCAAAUUCUGCCCAAAAAUUGUUUCCCUGACCUCAGCAGAUCCAAGGAGAGAAGAGGCUGGAGGAUUUCCCAACAAACCUGCAAAGGUGCUCCUGGAGGAGAUCCUUGGCUGGGGAAAGCUGCCACAGGCAGCAGAGCAACCUGGAUUUAUGGCGCUGGAUGAUGCAGCAUUGUAUUUGCUGGGAAUGUCCAAAUGAAGGCAGGAAGGAAUGAUGAAUCUGACUCUGUGUUUUCAGAAGGCUAAUUUAUUAUUUUAUAAUACUAUAUUAUAUUAAAGAAUAGUAAAGAAUACAGAAAGGAUACUUACUCAAUGCUAAAAAGAUAAUAAUGAAAACUCGUGACUCUUUCCAGAGUCUCGACAGAG
This is a long non-coding RNA of Passer domesticus (house sparrow), 2028 nucleotides long. RefSeq lists it as uncharacterized. The record is from RefSeq and is a predicted model, not a curated record. Lineage: Eukaryota; Metazoa; Chordata; Aves; Passeriformes; Passeridae. The transcript has 3 exons.